GACGAACGCUGGCGGCGUGCUUAACACAUGCAAGUCGAACGGAAAGGCCCCUUUGGGGGUACUCGAGUGGCGAACGGGUGAGUAACACGUGAGUAACCUGCCCUUGACUUCGGGAUAACUUCAGGAAACUGGGGCUAAUACCGGCUAGGAAUCCUUGCUGCAUGGUGGGGGUUGGAAAGCUUCGGCGGUUUGGGAGGGACUCGCGGCUUAUCAGCUUGUUGGUGGGGUAGUGGCUUACCAAGGCUUUGACGGGUAGCCGGCCUGGGAGGGCGGCCGGCCACAUUUGGACUGAGAGACGGCCCAGACCCCUACGGGAGGCAGCAGGGGGGAAUAUUGCCCAAUGGGCGGAAGCCCGAUGCAGCAACGCCGCGGGCGGGAUGACGGCCUUCGGGUUGGAAAACGGCUUCAGCAGGGGCGAAGCUUGUGGUGACGGUACCUGCAGAAGAAGCACCGGCUAACUACGUG
RNAcentral lists this ribosomal RNA (465 nucleotides) under uncultured bacterium. RNAcentral's name for it is "partial 16S ribosomal RNA". It matches the Rfam family "Bacterial small subunit ribosomal RNA", at positions 28 to 507 of the family's 1533-position model. The record is from RNAcentral.